AUGCAGAUGAUGCCGUACCUCACACUUGAAAUUUCGGUUGGAUUAACAGCAGCCGCCCUCCUUUUUCUUCUUCUUCUUCAAAAACAAAAGAAAACAGCCAAGCUCCAGUUUCACCAGCGUAUGUUCCUGGAGCAGCAAUGCAGCAACAGCAGCGCCCCUCACCCACCAAUUUUGCAUACCGUUUGUAGCAUCAUCAUCAACGCUGCAUUUUUUUUUUCUGUAAACGCCGAGACCCGUCGUGGCGCACGGCGGUGGUCCGACCGCCGUCGACGCGACGGUCGAUCAUGGCGUGGUGGUGGAACAGGCCGAUGGACCAGAUGA
This 321-nucleotide ribosomal RNA is filed under the name Triticum aestivum (bread wheat). Its description in RNAcentral is "partial small subunit ribosomal RNA". The record is from RNAcentral. Lineage: Eukaryota; Viridiplantae; Streptophyta; Magnoliopsida; Poales; Poaceae.